This 574-nucleotide ribosomal RNA is filed under the name uncultured bacterium. Its description in RNAcentral is "bacterial SSU rRNA". It matches the Rfam family "Bacterial small subunit ribosomal RNA", at positions 60 to 627 of the family's 1533-position model. The record is from RNAcentral.
AGUCGAGGGGCAGCACGAUGUAGCAUACAUUGGUGGCGACCGGCGCACGGGUGAGUAACGCGUAUGCAACCUACCUAUCAGAGGGGAAUAACCCGGCGAAAGUCGGACUAAUACCGCAUAAAACAGGGGUUCCACAUGGAAAUAUUUGUUAAAGAAUUAUCGCUGAUAGAUGGGCAUGCGUUCCAUUAGAUAGUUGGUGAGGUAACGGCUCACCAAGUCCACGAUGGAUAGGGGUUCUGAGAGGAAGGUCCCCCACACUGGUACUGAGACACGGACCAGACUCCUACGGGAGGCAGCAGUGAGGAAUAUUGGUCAAUGGGCGAGAGCCUGAACCAGCCAAGUCGCGUGAAGGAUGAAGGAUCUAUGGUUUGUAAACUUCUUUUAUAUGGGAAUAAAGUGAGGAACGUGUUCCUUUUUGUAUGUACCAUAUGAAUAAGCAUCGGCUAACUCCGUGCCAGCAGCCGCGGUAAUACGGAGGAUGCGAGCGUUAUCCGGAUUUAUUGGGUUUAAAGGGUGCGUAGGUGGUUAAUUAAGUCAGCGGUGAAAGUUUGUGGCUCAACCAUAAAAUUGCCGU